This 253-nucleotide ribosomal RNA is filed under the name uncultured bacterium. RNAcentral describes it as "partial 16S ribosomal RNA". It matches the Rfam family "Bacterial small subunit ribosomal RNA", at positions 524 to 776 of the family's 1533-position model. The record is from RNAcentral.
UACGUAGGGGGCAAGCGUUGUCCGGAUUUAUUGGGCGUAAAGAGCGUGUAGGCGGCUAGGUAGGUCCGUUGUGAAAACUCGAGGCUCAACCUCGAGACGCCGGUGGAAACCGUCUGGCUAGAGUCCGGAAGAGGAGAGUGGAAUUCCUGGUGUAGCGGUGAAAUGCGCAGAUAUCAGGAAGAACACCCGUGGCUAAGGCGGCUCUCUAGUACGGUACUGACGCUGAGACGCGAAAGCGUGGGGAGCGAACAGG